This 2065-nucleotide long non-coding RNA is filed under the name Nicotiana tabacum (common tobacco). RNAcentral's name for it is "long non-coding RNA (NTAB_LNC018207)". Lineage: Eukaryota; Viridiplantae; Streptophyta; Magnoliopsida; Solanales; Solanaceae. The record is from RNAcentral.
GCUAAUGACAUUAACCAUAUGAUUUGCUAAGAAAAUUAAAAGAAUGAACUAACAGGAAACAUACUCAAUAGAUCAGUAUUCAAACAUAGAAAACUAAAAAAUAUAAAAGUCAUCCCUAUCACACCAAUUAAAUCAAUACCACAAUGAUCCAGAAUAUUAACAAGAAGAACAAAAUAGAAAAAGAGAAAUGAACCUUUGUAUUAACGAGGCAAAUCCAUAAUCGGAAUUUUCGCUAGAACAAACUGAAUGACAACCGGAUCUAAAGGUGACCACGCCGGGACCUCGGAUUGGCACCUUCAACAUGCGACGAGCUCAAACCACGCUAAGAUUUAAUCAAAUUCCAGUUUUUUGAAAAUAUAAAUUGCAAUCAGAAAGAAGAAACAGAGUUGUAUUUUUCUUGUAUUUUUUGAUUUUUUUUUUAAAUAUAGCAAAGGAACUUUUCUUGGAACCUCCCUUUGUCUCAAUUUUCCCCUUCCCUAAAAUUUUGUCCGAAACAAAUCUCUUUUCCCCAAUUUCCCUCUAUCUCGUUUUCCACUCUUUCUAUGAGUGUGUAUCCUUUUCUUUUUGUGUUUGAGAUAAUGAAGAUUUGGUAAAAUGUAAGAGGGAGAAACGUUAGGUUCAGGGAGAUGUAAAAGGAAGAUUUCAUAAAAUUUCCUCUUUGUUUUUUUGGGAAGAUUCCGGGGUUAUGCCGCUUUUCUCUUUUUUAGUCUCGAUCCUUUGUUGUUUAGGAGUUAAAGGGUUAUUUUAUAGGGGUAGGGAUUAGGUUUGGAGUGUGGGCCUAGGAGUUAUGGGCUUGAUAAUUGGGUCAAAGACUAAAAACAAAUGGACUACAAGAUUUAUAAAGACGGGAUAAACCAACCUAAAACUAAUUCCUCCUUCUAAAAUUAUGUACAAUUAUAAUAUAAAAAUAUAAAACUAAUUUUAAUUAAUUGAACUAAUCUAUAAAAUAUAAAACUUUUUUUUCUGUUUUAAGAUUAUAUAAAAAAUAAAGAUAAGGUACUAUUUUUGUAUAUUUUUUAUUUAAAUUUAUGAAAGAUACGUAAACUAAGAUAAUUUUUUUGUAAUUUUUAUUUUUUGUGAUGAAAUAAAGUAAAAUAGUCAAAAUUAGCUGAAAUAGCGAUAUUAGGCCUAAACUAAAUAUUUACAUGCUAAAAUGAGUGAAAUUUUGGGGAGGGUCAAAAAUCACAUGUGUACAAACAACCAAAGCAAAUAAGGAGUUAAACAUGAUAUCAACCCUUUAACUUAAUUUGAGACAAUUCAAAGGAAUCAAAGAUCGAGAUGACUAAAGGGAAAUAGUGAGAACUCAAUCUAAUAAGAUGUGAGGAAUCCAAUUGAGUUUAUAAAUUUGUUAAGAUAAAAACAAAAUCACUUCACCCUAAAGAAUAUUACUCUUGUGAAGAAACAAUUAUGUACCUCAUAAAUCAAAAUAUCCCCGAGCUAACUUGGCUCUCAAGUAAAGGCUAACAUAUUUGAUAUUUGAAUCAACUUUAGUAACAUUAGAUCUAACAAUUACUUGAAUAGCUUAUUCGAUUGUUUUCCAAAUUGAUGAAGACGAAUGUCAACUCUACAACCAGUACCUUCCCUUUUUAAAAUCAAACUUUUAAGAAUAGACUAAGGAAGUAGUAUAAGAUAUAAGAAAACUAAUAUUAAAACAAACCUUCUAUACUAAUACAUAAUUCCUACACUACUCGAAGAACACUUAAGAUAAUAAAAUGAACUUUCAUGAGCAUAUUUAGAACUGGAGCAACGUGAACUAGCUUCAACGAAUCUUCAGACAAGAAACCAAUGCCAAUUGAGUCAAGAACUAAUACCAUUCUUCACAUCACAUAAUAUUUUAAAACAAAAUAAAAGGAAAGAGAAGAGAUGAACCUUAGAAUAACCCAAAAUGAUUCUGAAAUUGAUUAAACGAGAAUCUCCAUCACGAAACAGAAGAUUAGAACAACAAACUCGACUGAAUGAUGAACCUCGAACCGGAAACCUCAAAUCGAUGCCGGCAAACUCGAAAACCCCAACGUGAACUUAAAACCAAACAUCAAUCAGAACCCCAUUUUUGGAACAAAAAUCC